UACGUAUGGAGCAAGCGUUAUCCGGAUUUACUGGGUGUAAAGGGAGCGCAGGCGAUCUGGCAAGUCUGAUGUGAAAGGCCGGGGCUCAACCCCGGGACUGCAUUGGAAACUGUCAGACUGGAGUGUCGGAGAGGUAAGCGGAAUUCCUAGUGUAGCGGUGAAAUGCGUAGAUAUUAGGAGGAACACCAGUGGCGAAGGCGGCUUACUGGACGAUGACUGACGCUGAGGCUCGAAAGCGUGGGGAGCAAACAGG
This 253-nucleotide ribosomal RNA is filed under the name uncultured bacterium. RNAcentral's name for it is "partial 16S ribosomal RNA". It matches the Rfam family "Bacterial small subunit ribosomal RNA", at positions 524 to 776 of the family's 1533-position model. The record is from RNAcentral.